RNAcentral lists this ribosomal RNA (465 nucleotides) under uncultured bacterium. RNAcentral describes it as "partial 16S ribosomal RNA". It matches the Rfam family "Bacterial small subunit ribosomal RNA", at positions 28 to 507 of the family's 1533-position model. The record is from RNAcentral.
GACGAACGCUGGCGGUGUGCCUAACACAUGCAAGUCGAACGGUAAGGCCCUUUCGGGGGUACACGAGUGGCGAACGGGUGAGUAACACGUGAGUAACCUGCCCUCAUCUCUGGGAUAACAGUCGGAAACGGUUGCUAAUACUGGAUAUGAGCCUGCAAGGCAUCUUGUGGGUUGGAAAGAUUUUUUGGUUGGGGAUGGACUCGCGGCCUAUCAGCUUGUUGGUGAGGUAGUGGCUCACCAAGGCUUCGACGGGUAGCCGGCCUGAGAGGGCGACCGGCCACAUUGGGACUGAGAUACGGCCCAAACUCCUACGGGAGGCAGCAGUGGGGAAUAUUGCACAAUGGACGGAAGUCUGAUGCAGCAACGCCGCGUGCGGGAUGACGGCCUUCGGGUUGUAAACCGCUUUCAAUUGUGACGAAGCUUUUUGUGACGGUAGCAGUAGAAGAAGCACCGGCUAACUACGUG